Molecule: ribosomal RNA, 400 nt
Filed under: uncultured bacterium
Lineage: Bacteria
Description: bacterial SSU rRNA
Rfam family: Bacterial small subunit ribosomal RNA
Source: RNAcentral
UGGGGAAUAUUGGACAAUGGGGGCAACCCUGAUCCAGCAAUGCCGCGUGUGUGAAGAAGGCCUGCGGGUUGUAAAGCACUUUAGGUAACGAGGAAGGCUUGGGAGUGAAUAGCUUCUGAGAUUGACGUUAGUUACAGAAUAAGCACCGGCUAACUCUGUGCCAGCAGCCGCGGUAAUACAGAGGGUGCAAGCGUUAAUCGGAAUGACUGGGCGUAAAGCGUGCGUAGGUGGCAAAAUAAGUUAGUUGUGAAAUCCCUGGGCUUAACCUAGGAACUGCAAUUGAUACUGUUUAGCUAGAGUAUAGUAGAGGUAAGUGGAAUUUCCGGUGUAGCGGUGAAAUGCGUAGAUAUCGGAAGGAACACCAGUGGCGAAGGCGGCUUACUGGGCUAAUACUGACACU